CACACACACACACACACACACACACACACACACACACACACUGAGGCUGUGUGGCCGGCCUGGGAGCCCAGACCAGCAGGCUUGGUCCUAAGGCUGUCUCUGGCUCCAUUACAGAGCCGUGUCCCCAUGCCAGACUUGGGAUGGUCACCUGUGAAGCACACAGCUGACCUAAAUGACCCC
Long non-coding RNA from Ochotona curzoniae (black-lipped pika), 180 nucleotides. RefSeq lists it as uncharacterized. The record is from RefSeq and is a predicted model, not a curated record. NCBI's taxonomy places the organism in Eukaryota, Metazoa, Chordata, Mammalia, Lagomorpha, Ochotonidae. The transcript has 3 exons.